CAGCACCUCAAGAGGUCAGGAUGAUUAUUGGGCCUAAAGCAUCCGUAGCCGGCUCUGUAAGUUUUCGGUUAAAUCUGUAUGCUCAACAUACAGGCUGCCGGGAAUACUGCAGAGCUAGGGAGUGGGAGAGGUAGACGGUACUCGGUAGGAAGGGGUAAAAUCCUUUGAUCUAUUGAUGACCACCUGUGGCGAAGGCGGUCUACCAGAACACGUCCGACGGUGAGGGAUGAAAGCUGGGGGAGCAAACCGGAUUAGAUACCCGCGUAGUCC
Molecule: ribosomal RNA, 270 nt
Filed under: uncultured archaeon
Lineage: Archaea
Description: partial 16S ribosomal RNA
Rfam family: Archaeal small subunit ribosomal RNA
Source: RNAcentral